Molecule: RNA transcript, 1580 nt
Organism: Helianthus annuus (common sunflower)
Lineage: Eukaryota; Viridiplantae; Streptophyta; Magnoliopsida; Asterales; Asteraceae
Gene name: mitogen-activated protein kinase 3-like
Exons: 2
Source: RefSeq, a predicted model, not a curated record
ACGCAGGAGAGAGAGAGUGAGACAAAAACAUCAAUAGAAACCCUAAGUAUCUCCCACCGCCCUCUUCUCCGUCUUUCCGUCGCUCCUGCAUCCGCUCCGACGCCUCCUUCACCCUCCUCAACAACGCCUCCACCUGACCACCUCUUGCUUCCUCACUCAAUUGAUAGGCGAUGAUGACGACAGAGAUGGCGUACGCGGUGUUGUCCCCUUCGCGGACUACGGUGGUUUGACGGUGGUGUUCUCCUUUCGCUUAUCUGUCUUCUAAAUUCUUCACUGUCAAUUCUUUACUCUAGCUUCUAAGGUUCAUCAAUCUGGAUUUCAGUAUUAAUUUGUUUUUGUUUUUAAUUUCUUUUUGAUGCCUUAUAUUAUUUGAUUGCUUGCAUAAGCUUCACUGCUAGCAACCUACUUAUUGUGAAGUUAUGUGUGUGAUACUUGCUAGCCCAUUACAAUUUCUUUAAGAUUUUUAUAAUUUAUUGAAUAACACCAUACGAGGAGCUAUGUAUCUUUUAACUUAUAACAUGACAUACAUUUGAAAUUGGGUUUACAAAGUUUGACUUUGUGGCCAAUCUUGUAGAAAGUUUUCUCUAAUUUAGAACAAUGUAUAAGAAAGUGACAUUUUUUUAAUUCAUAUGGUUAACUUUUAUUUCUCAGAUUAAUGUUUAUCACCGCCCGGAAUUUGGUUCUUAUAAAAAGACUUUGGAUAUUUAAAUUUUGCCAUGAGAAGUAUUAAUAUGUAUUCCUUGAAUUACAAUAGAUAUACUUUAUAAUGUUUUAUUGUUUAUUGAUUUUCGUUGUGAUAUAAAAGCGGCAAUAAGCAAUAGAUGAAUCAUCUUUUUAAGCUAAUGCUUACUCACAAACCAAAUAUAACUCGGUUUUGGUAUUCCUACUCAGUUUUGUAAGUGAUUCUGGUUGGUCAUCACUUUGGCUGGGUAUGCAUAUCGUAUGCAAUGGAGAUAUUUUUAAACUAAAGUCGCGAACAUCAGAACUAGAAUGGCACAACGUAAUGAUGUGUUUAAAAAAAUCAGUAUGUGUGUUUGAUAUUGAUCAGCAGGUAAAGAAGGAUAUAUUGUCUUUUAUGAUUUUCUGUUUUAUUUUGUUGAUCAUUGGUAAAAAAAAUAGAUGUAUUAUGUAUCUUUUUUACUAUUUUAUAAAUGUAGGUACCCCAAGAACCGUUUGCGACUCUUUUUGUUAACUGUGAGCAGGUAAACAUUUUUAGGUACACUUUGUGACUCUCUUUGUUAAUCGUCCUCCGAUCAUGCCGAUUGGCCGUAGUGCUUAUGGGAUGGUGUGGUAUGUGUAUAUUUUUGUGACUGUGAUCAGUUUGAUGCUGAACUCAGAGACGAAUGAGAUGCUUGCUUUGAAGAAGAGUGCGUAUGCUUUCGAUAAUUGUGUGGAUGCGAAGCGGACGCUUCAUGAGAUUAAGCUUCUUCCAUAUUUGCAUCAUGAGAAUGUGAGUUUUGCUUUGAUGUGAACAUGUUUGUUUAAUAGAUUUAUGCAGGAUUGUAGAUCUUUUUAUCAAAUGUGAAUUAGUAACCCAUGUUGCAUUGUAGAUUUAUAAUCCCCAUAAUUCUUUUGGAAAA